AAUACACCUUCAUUUUGCAUUUCAAGCUGUUUUUGGCAGUGUUACAGGGGCCCAUCUUGAGCAGUUAUGCCUGACUGCAGCUCUGCUGGAUCAAGCAGCUUCUCAUUAGCCAACUGUCGCAGGAGGUUCUGAUGUCCAUCCAGUCGCCGCCGGUGUUCACGGGGUCGUGGCGGGAAAUUCUGCGUCCUUGUUUGCAUCGGAGAACGAAUGGAAUGUUGAAACUCUUAGUAGGCAGGUGCUACUUUCUCUCCACCUCAUCUGCUGUUUCUCUCCUCUCUGUCCUCCCAUCUGCCACAUUAACACACCGGGGUUGUCACUUCCUGAUAUUUUUAAGACAGCAGCGUAAAGUGAAAUUUCUUUUUUUGGUUGCAUUUAAUGAUGACUCAUUUCUUCACCAGGACGCGGUCUAAGGCGGUCAUAUUUAAACAAAACCUUUCGUGGGUUUAAAUAACCUUUCCAGCCAUUCCCAGUUAAAAAUGACCAGUUAUUGCAACUACAUGGAUACACACUUUCAUUAACUUUCAUUUACACCCCAGACAGUGUUCCAGCAAUUGGCUGAUAAACAUGGGGGCAUUCGAUUUAGACAUGGCUACUCUGUCUAAUUUGCAGCUCCCGGUCAACAUAAUUUUGCUGUGCCCUAAUCUAACCUUUUUUUGUCUUGGACAAUUGCCAAACUUGUCGAAGAAACCUUUUGUCCCUUCCUCAGUGACCCUGAACCCUCGUUAGCAUUAUGGGCUCUGUCUUAGCUUUAGUGAUUAUAAAGUCAUUUUACGGUCACAUGACAAGAAAAUGAGAGGAUUUCUGGAUUGGGUGAGAUUUCAAUAGUCAAUGGCAUUAAAGAAAUACUGUAUUUUAUGUUGUUUCAAAUCUAUAUGAUGUAAACUUG
Long non-coding RNA from Cyprinus carpio carpio, 886 nucleotides. The record is from Ensembl. NCBI's taxonomy places the organism in Eukaryota, Metazoa, Chordata, Actinopteri, Cypriniformes, Cyprinidae.